GAUGAACGCUGGCGGCGUGCCUAACACAUGCAAGUCGAACGGAAAGGCCCUGCUUUUGUGCGGUGAUCGAUUGCCGAAGGCGUGAGUAUCACGUGUGUAACAUGCCCUUGUCUUUGGGGUAACUUCAGGAAACUGGGGCUAAUAUCGGAUAGGAUCUCCUGCAGCGCGGGGGGGGUUGGAGAGUUUCGGCUUUGGGGGAUGGACUCGCUGGUUACGCGCUUGCUUGUGGGGUAGGUGCUUACCCAGGCUUUGACGGGUCGCCCGCCUGAGCGGGUGACCGGCCACAUUGGGACUGAGGUACGGCCCAGACGGGUACGGGCGGCAACGGGGGGGAAUCUUGCACAAUGGGCGCAAGCCUGAUGCAGAAGCGCCGCGUGCGGGAAGACGGCCUUCGGGUUGUAAACCACUUUCGCCUGAAACGAAGCGUGAGUGACGGUAAUGAAUAAAAAAGCAACGGCUAACUACGUG
This 468-nucleotide ribosomal RNA is filed under the name uncultured bacterium. RNAcentral's name for it is "partial 16S ribosomal RNA". It matches the Rfam family "Bacterial small subunit ribosomal RNA", at positions 28 to 507 of the family's 1533-position model. The record is from RNAcentral.